GGUUAGCUCAGUUGGUAGAGCGCUCCGCUGAAAAUAGAGAAAUCCCUGGUUUGAUACCAGAACC
Molecule: transfer RNA, 64 nt
Filed under: Ixodes scapularis (black-legged tick)
Lineage: Eukaryota; Metazoa; Arthropoda; Arachnida; Ixodida; Ixodidae
Rfam family: tRNA
About the family: Transfer RNA (tRNA) molecules are approximately 80 nucleotides in length. Their secondary structure includes four short double-helical elements and three loops (D, anti-codon, and T loops).
Source: Rfam by way of RNAcentral